Molecule: non-coding RNA, 204 nt
Filed under: Holdemania filiformis
Lineage: Bacteria; Bacillati; Bacillota; Erysipelotrichia; Erysipelotrichales; Erysipelotrichaceae
Description: T-box sequence
Rfam family: T-box leader
About the family: Uncharged tRNA acts as the effector for transcription antitermination of genes in the T-box leader family.
Source: RNAcentral
UUGAAAACGAUGACGAAGAAAAGUAGAUCAGGCUGUUCCAUUGCAGAGAGAAAACGGCGGUGCAAGUUUUCAUGGGAUCUGAUCGAAGCCGCUUCCGAGUUUGCCCAAAGCAACGUGUGCUCUGCGUUAAAGAGAAAUGAGGGCAUUUCUUUUGAAGAAAAGAAAUGAAUCAGGAUGGUACCGCGUGAGUAAAGCGUUCCUGGA